AUGCCCACACGACUGAGCCACCCAGGCGCCCCUUAUUAUCUCCACUUUAAAGGAUGCAAGUUCCAGGAAGACAAGAAUUAUUGUCUAUUUUGUCCACUGUUAUAUCCUCAGUGCCAGAAGAGAUAAUAAAUAGGAUCAGAGAGGUCAUCACAGAUGAUGUCAGGUAUCCAAGUCUGGAAGACUGAGGAAAUUUCAGCAUGCAGACAAAGGUAGAAAGAACACAGUAUAGAAAGAGGGGAUAAACACCAGAUUCCAGAAGGGCACACUGUCGCUCACCUAUAUACUGUACCUCGCGCUUGGGGCGAUGAUAUUUUAAGCCUUGGAGAAAGACUUGGAAGUACAGCAGCACCAGCUGGCAGUUAAAACAAAAAUUGCGUUUCUGGAAAAUCGUUCUAGUAUGACUCAAGAAGAUGUGGAACUCUUCGUGCAGCUGCUUGAACAAACUGAGACACAUGGGUCAAAUCUGACCUGAAUGUCCUGUUCGCCCAAGCAGACCCCAAGAUCAAGGGGAGAGAGGGGACAAGGAAGAACACUGCAGCCUUCUUUUUUCUUUCCACUUCAGGAUGUAUUUACAGAUUCUCAGACCUUUGGACUCAGAUUGCAACUCUACCAGUGGCUCUCCUGGAUGUCUGGCUUGCAACAGCAGACCAUGGGACUUCUCAGCCUCCAUUAUCAAUGUCCCUGCAUAGCUGCAAUUCAGCAAUGCCAAAGAAGAAAGGAGAGCCUCCAGUUCCCAGCUAUGUUUUUCUCUCUGCAUAGCAGUAAUAGUGUCUUCAGUGUUUCCUUACAUGGAUCAAGUGGAAGAAAAAGGAAUCGGAUUGGUCCAUGAGCACUGUUUGGCCUGGGGAAUAGGGUCUUUCUCCAUCCUUAGCCUAUCAUGGCCAUAUUUGCUUUAUCACUUUCAUCUGUUUGGCUUGAAAUAUCUCCGCACUCUUUAUGUUUGGGACUGGCAGGCAAAGAAAAGAAGUCUUGGAGCAGCCCCACUCCAGUGGAAAUAAAGGACAUUUUGCAGCCUGUCUUCCCAGACAGCCAAAGAGCUCUGAACCCCAAGAUUCUGGAUGAUUCCUGACUUGAGCCUCACAAUCCUCCCAAAGCCAGCAUGAUAUUUCCCGCAAAAACCCCAGCAGCCUGACCGCCUCAUCAAAAGUUUAGUAGCCGAGAACUUAAAAAGAAAAAGAAAAAAAAGGCUACUAUUGCUUAUGUUCCUAGCAUCAACCAUUUUACAAACUGCAUUUCAGAAUAUUUGCUAACAUGUUCUGACAAAGAAUAAUAAUUGAUCAGAAGCUCCCCAGCUUGCGUGAAGAACAACAACAAUAAUAGUCAUUAAGAGCCUGUUCUGGGUCUUUCUCUCACGCUAAGGCUCGAGUUUGGUUGUGAUGAAAAGAAAGUCACUGUAAGAACAUUACGUCUACGUUACUCAGCUCUCACUCAGGAAGCUUAUUAAUCUCAGUGAGUAGAUCUGGCACAACUUUGCAGAACUCUAGAAGUCACAUAGCUGGAGUAGAGGGAGCGAUUCUGUGUAUGUUAUUUCACCACAUUUACAGACCAUAGAAAUAAUGUAGCCAAUCGACAUGCCCUCACUGACAUCUAGUGCUCCGAUUUCUCUCCACCAGCUCUGAUUUGAGAUGGUUUGACUAGUUAAAGCUCAUUGCACAAUGGCUGGUGCUACAGAGCCGGAAAUGCCAGGUCAGCAACCAAACCACUAAAGUCAUAAGUGCCUGCUGCAUAAAUGCCCAUGUUUCAUCUUUAGCGGGCUUUAAAGUUAAAUAGCGAAGACAGACAAUGCGAAGGAAAAUAUGACUGCGAUAAAACACGGCAACUACACGAUGGCUAAAAUUAAGUCUUCAUAUCAAUCAUGCAUUUUUAAUGUGAACAUUUAUGGAAAUCUCUCUUAAUGUUUAGGCAGUAUUUUUCUUCAUUGGUUAUUUAUGAUGCUGUGAGCUGCAAGCACAAGCUAAAUGGGAAAGCCAGAGAAUGGGAUUUGCUUAACAGUCGACAACCUUGUCCUACUGUAAAUAAAAAAGAGAAAGCCCAUCAUCUCUUCAAGCGCAUCUUCAUAAAUAAACUUAAAAAGAAAAGC
This is a long non-coding RNA of Leopardus geoffroyi (Geoffroy's cat), 2080 nucleotides long. RefSeq lists it as uncharacterized. The transcript is spliced from 9 exons. NCBI's taxonomy places the organism in Eukaryota, Metazoa, Chordata, Mammalia, Carnivora, Felidae. The record is from RefSeq and is a predicted model, not a curated record.